This is a long non-coding RNA of Penaeus monodon (black tiger shrimp), 1246 nucleotides long. RefSeq lists it as uncharacterized. The transcript is spliced from 3 exons. The record is from RefSeq and is a predicted model, not a curated record. NCBI's taxonomy places the organism in Eukaryota, Metazoa, Arthropoda, Malacostraca, Decapoda, Penaeidae.
UCUCACCAAACCUAUUCCGCCGCUGAUGGGGUCCUCCUGCUCUAUGACGUCACCAGCGAGCGCUCCUUCCUCAACGUCCGCCAGUGGAUUCAGAGCAUUGACGAAGCCUGCCUAACGCGCGUGCCCUUGGUGCUCUGCGGGAACAAGGCCGACCUGAGGGACACGGCAGCUGCGCAGGGGAGGUGCAUCGUCAGCGCCAGCAACGGUGAGAGGCUGGCAAGGGACUACGGUGCUGCGUUUAUUGAAACGUCUUGCAAGAACGGCGCCUGGGGUCAUGGACGCCCUUGUGAUGCUAGCAAGGCAAAUGGUGACGAACGAGGACGUGGAGAUCCAAACGUCGGCGCUGAAGGUCACGGCCAACGACUCGAAGAGAAGUUGCUGUGGGAGCAAAAAAGCCGAAUAGGAUAUUUAAUUCGAUUUUGAUUAAUUUUACGUAUGCUAAUUAUGAGCGUUGAAAUUUUUUUUAUUUUCUUUUCAUCUAUUUUUUUUUCUUUUUUUUUUUUAUGGGGGCUUUUAGUCAACGAUUUUUUUUCUUUUUUAAUUAUGAGCGUUGUAUUUCUUGAUUUUUUUUAUUUUUAUUUAUCUAUAUUAUUUUUCAUGGGGGGCUUUUAGUCUAUUCUUUUUCUUUUUUUUUUACUUUUGUUUUUGUUUCUAUUCCUUCUAAAUGGAAUCGCCGUUUGUAUUUAUAUAUAUAUAUAUAUUUUUUUUUUCUGCUUGGUUAUCGUCUUUCAUUUAUAAAACAAGUGAAACAGUGACGUCACGCUUAUCUCAUGACUUCACACGAAUAUGGAAGUGACGUUACAACUCUCCCAUGACGUCAUGAGAAUGCGGCAAUGACGUCACGACCCUCCCAUGACGUCAUGAGAAUACGGUAAUGACGUCACGACUCUCCCAUGACGUCACGAUUAGCCAUGACAUCAUGAAAAUAUGGUAAUGACGUCAGGACUGGCAGUCUUGGCGCCAGGUUUAGUUUUCCCUUCAAUUCUUCAACUGUAGAUAUGCGUAUGCCGUAGGAAUUUCUAUUAGAAUUAUUGAAAUGCUUGAAAUUAUAUUUAGGUGCCUAUUACUAAGCUAAUGAAAAUAUAUAAUGCACGUGUAAAUGGAUAAGCACGUUCUGGAAUAUAUAAUAAACACAAAGACAAAGUAUUUCCUCAUUUUUUCUCUCUCUGUAUCUGUCUAUAUCUAUAUCUACCUAUUUAUCUAUCUACCUAUCUAUAUAUAAUUAUGUCUAUAUAUCAGUCGUUUC